This 492-nucleotide ribosomal RNA is filed under the name uncultured bacterium. Its description in RNAcentral is "partial 16S ribosomal RNA". It matches the Rfam family "Bacterial small subunit ribosomal RNA", at positions 29 to 507 of the family's 1533-position model. The record is from RNAcentral.
AGUGAACGCUGGCGGUAGGCCUAACACAUGCAAGUCGAACGGCAGCACAGUAAGAGCUUGCUCUUACGGGUGGCGAGUGGCGGACGGGUGAGGAAUACAUCGGAAUCUACUUUUUCGCGGGGGAUAACGUAGGGAAACUUACGCUAAUACAGCAUACGACCUACGGGUGAAAGCAGGGGAUCUUUGGACCUUGCGCGAUUGAAUGAGCCGAUGUCGGAUUAGCUAGUUGGCGGGGUAAAGGCCCACCAAGGCGACGAUCCGUAGCUGGUCUGAGAGGAUGAUCAGCCACACUGGAACUGAGACACGGUCCAGACUCCUACGGGAGGCAGCAGUGGGGAAUAUUGGACAAUGGGCGCAAGCCUGAUCCAGCCAUACCGCGUGGGUGAAGAAGGCCUUCGGGUUGUAAAGCCCUUUUGUUGGGAAAGAAAAGCAGCAGGUUAAUACCCCGCUGUUCUGACGGUACCCAAAGAAUAAGCACCGGCUAACUUCGUG